Molecule: ribosomal RNA, 700 nt
Filed under: Sarcosphaera crassa
Lineage: Eukaryota; Fungi; Ascomycota; Pezizomycetes; Pezizales; Pezizaceae
Description: partial large subunit ribosomal RNA
Rfam family: Eukaryotic large subunit ribosomal RNA
Source: RNAcentral
GGAACAGGACGUCAUAGAGGGUGAGAACCCCGUUUCAUGGCCUUUGACUUAUGCUCAUUGUGAAUCUUCUUCAACGAUGUCGAGUGGUUUGGGAAUGCAGCUUUAAAUUGGUGGUAAAUUCCAUCUAAAGUUAAAUACUGGCAAGAGACCGAUAGCGCACAAGUAGAGUGAUCGAAAGAUGAAAAGAACUCUGAACAGAGAGUCAAAUAGUACGUGAAAUUGUUGAAAGGGAAGCACUUGUUACCAGACAUGCCUUCAGUCAAUCAGCCUUCAUUUUUGAUGGUGCACUUGGCUGUCGGUGGGUCAGCAUCAGUUACAACAGUGGGAUAAAGGCUGUGGGAAUGUGACUUCCUUCGGGGAGUGUUAUAGUCCAUAGUGUAAUACCAAUCGUUGUGACUGAGGCCUGCGCUUCGGUGAGGAUGCUGGCAUAAUGGUCAUAAGUGACCCGUCUUGAAACACGGACCAAGGAGUUUAACAUUUAUGGGAGUGUUUGGGUGUUAAAACCCUUACGCGGAAUGAAAGUAAAUGGAGGUGGGAACCGCAAGGUGCACCAUCGACCGAUCCUGAUGUUUUCGGAUGGAUUUGAGUAGGAGCAUAGCUGUUGGGACCCGAAAGAUGGUGAACUAUGCCUGAAUAGGGUGAAGCCAGAGGAAACUCUGGUGGAGGCUCGCAGCGGUUCUGACGUGCAAAUCGAUCGUCC